RNAcentral lists this ribosomal RNA (406 nucleotides) under uncultured bacterium. RNAcentral's name for it is "partial 16S ribosomal RNA". It matches the Rfam family "Bacterial small subunit ribosomal RNA", at positions 30 to 525 of the family's 1533-position model. The record is from RNAcentral.
AUUGAACGCUGGCGGCAGGCCUAACACAUGCAAGUCGAGCGGAGCGGCGGACGGGUGAGUAAUGCCGAGGAAUCUGCCUGGUAGUGGGGGAUAACGUCCGGAAACGGGCGAUAAUACCGCACACUAUCAGAUGAGCCUCGGUCGGAUUAGCUAGUUGGUGGGGUAAAGGCCUACAAAGGCGAUGAUCCGUAACUGGUAUGAGAGGAUGAUCAGUCACACGGAAACUGAGACACGGUCCAGACUCCUACGUGAGGCAGCAAGGGGGAAUAUUGGACAAUGGGCGAAAGCCUGAUCCAGCCAUGCCGCGUGUGAGAAGAAGGUCUUCGGAUUGUAAAGCACUUUAAGUUGGGAGGCGUUACCAACAGAAAAAGCACCGGCUAACUUGGUGCCAGCAGCCGCGGAAAAC